This 839-nucleotide ribosomal RNA is filed under the name uncultured eukaryote. RNAcentral's name for it is "bacterial SSU rRNA". It matches the Rfam family "Eukaryotic small subunit ribosomal RNA", at positions 876 to 1685 of the family's 1831-position model. The record is from RNAcentral.
GGACAGACGGGGACAUUCGUAUUGCGGCGCUAGAGGUGAAAUUCUUGGACCGUCGCAAGACGAACUAAGGCGAAAGCAUUUGUCAAGAAUGUUUUCAUUAAUCAAGAACGAAAGUUAGAGGUUCGAAGGCGAUCAGAUACCGCCCUAGUUCUAACCAUAAACGAUGCCAGCCAGCGAUUAGCCUGAGUUCCUUAAAUGACUCGGCUAGCAGCUUCCGGGAAACCAAAGCUUUUCGGUUCCGGGGGAAGUAUGGUUGCAAAGCUGAAACUUAAAGGAAUUGACGGAAGGGCACCACCAGGAGUGGAGCCUGCGGCUUAAUUUGACUCAACACGGGAAAACUUACCUGGUCAGGACACUGGAAGGAUUGACAGAUUGAGAGCUCUUUCUUGAUUCAGUGGGUGGUGGUGCAUGGCCGUUCUUAGUUGGUGGAGCGAUUUGUCUGGUUAAUUCCGAUAACGAACGAGACUCUAGCCUACUAAAUAGACUGCUCAACUUUAUAGCUGCAUCACCUUGCAGUUGCUUCGGUGGCUGUAAGGCUGUGGUGACGUUGGCAGUGCUUCUUAGAGGGACAGGCGGCGGUUCAGCCGCACGAAACAGAGCAAUAACAGGUCUGUGAUGCCCUUGGAUGUCCAGGGCCGCACGCGCGCUACACUGAAGUGAUCAGCGUGCAAUUAACGUUUCCUACUCCGUCAGGAGUGGGUAACCCGUUGAACCUUCUUCGUGAUUGGGAUAGGGGAUUGUAAUUAUUCCCCUUGAACGAGGAAUUCCCAGUAAGCGCAAGUCAUAAGCUUGCGUUGAUUACGUCCCUGCCCUUUGUACACACCGCCCGUCGCUACUAC